CAGCAGCCGCGGGAAUACCGAGGGUGCAAGCGUUAAUCGGAAUUACUGGGCGUAAAGCGCGCGUAGGUGGUUUGUUAAGUUGGAUGUGAAAGCCCCGGGCUCAACCUGGGAACUGCAUCCAAAACUGGCAAGCUAGAGUACGGUAGAGGGUGGUGGAAUUUCCUGUGUAGCGGUGAAAUGCGUAGAUAUAGGAAGGAACACCAGUGGCGAAGGCGACCACCUGGACUGAUACUGACACUGAGGUGCGAAAGCGUGGGGAGCAAACAGGAUUAGAUACCCGCGUAGUCCCUGUCUCUUAUAA
Molecule: ribosomal RNA, 301 nt
Filed under: uncultured bacterium
Lineage: Bacteria
Description: partial 16S ribosomal RNA
Rfam family: Bacterial small subunit ribosomal RNA
Source: RNAcentral